Molecule: unclassified non-coding RNA, 1632 nt
Filed under: Hevea brasiliensis (rubber tree)
Lineage: Eukaryota; Viridiplantae; Streptophyta; Magnoliopsida; Malpighiales; Euphorbiaceae
Source: RNAcentral
UUUGGAUAAAAUCAUAAAAUGCCUAGCAUUCAUAGGAAAAUUUGGGCUACUGCAACUAACCCGCUUACAUUUGUCUUCUGCUAAGCGGCAAGAAAGCUGAACCCACAAAGAAAACACAAACACUACCUGAGUUCAUACAGCGCCUAUUCUUUGUUCUAUGACUAGAAAAAGGGCAGAAAUGAAAUAUAUUAGAACAGAGAGAGAGAGCGAGAGAGAGAGUGUUACCAGUUUCUGCCUCCUACCCAUGACAAAUCAUUUAUUAGUUUAGCAUCUCUCGUUCUCUCUCCCAAAAACCCUGAAAUUUCUAUACCCAUUGAAUGAAAUUGUUUCUUUGUCCAAGGAAUUUUGAAAUUUGAAGAGCAACAUACAGCCAUUGAAAAUCCUAUUAACCUUUAUGUUUCCUUGUUUUUAAUGCAGACGUCAUAUCGUUUUCUCUCUCGCCUUUACCAUUGCCGCCCCCAUAAGCACACUUCCUCCGUUUCUUCUUCCAUUUUAUGGAACAAGGACUUGAUCUUCUUAUUAACCCAACACAAUUCAAACAAUGAAAAUCCCAACACUAACACUGGUUUAGAAGGCAAUUUUGCCAAGCAAGUUUUUAGUUUUAGUUCCUUUACUCAGUCUCGUUGUUUUUUCACUUCUAACUCUUCUAACAAAUUCUUAUUCUUGGGUUUGGUUUCUUUUGAUAAUCAGAGUUAUCAUCACUACUCAACUCGUCGUAAUUUUUUCACGAGGGCUAAACAAGUAAAGAAGAUCGAAAUCAAUGAUCAACAUAGGUUAUGUAUUUUAUUUUAUUUUUCAUUACUUUUCUGCACUUGUUGUUUCUGGGUAAUUUGGGGGAAAAUUGGGUUCUUACAUUUCAAGUCAUGUACAUAUUGUAUGAUAAUAUUUUCUGAAAUUAAAAUGGAUUAAUUGUUGAAAUUCAGGAAUAUAUCAGUCUUGGUUGAAACUAAAUGUCUCUGUUGGAAGAGCAUCCUUGUAGAAUGGCAAGUCAUGUGAUUGAUUGUGUUAUAAAUAUGAAAGCGAGAAUGGAACACUAUCUCUAGAAAAAUAAUGAGAAAUGAUGCAUUUGUAUUUAAUUUAGUUUCUCAAUGGUGGAUGAGGUCUUGGUUACGCAGUUAAAAAAUCAAAUGCUUUAAAGUCUUUUUUUUAGAGAGUGAUCAGGUAUUAAUCAAAUAAUUGGAGCAUAAUGCAGUGCAAAUAUUUGGUAGAGACCAUGUAGGUAGUUAACACCUUCAACUUUUUUGGUUAAGAGAGUUUUGUCUCAGUGAUUGAAUAGGUAGGCUUAUGCUGGACUACCAAUGACGUAGGGAUAGGAUAGCUUGUUGCUUGGCAUUUUCGAUGUUGUCAUCAACAAUCCAUUAGGUGUAACUGUACUUGCAAUUUUGAUUUGUCAAUAUGUUGAAAGAAACCUUAAAAGGCCAUUCUAACAUUUGCGAGGCAUAAGUUUACAUCUCAGCAUGCACAUGCUUAUGGUCUAUAUUAAAUUGAGCAUUGUAUAAUUAUAUUUCACUUUUUGCACUGAGCCUUAUAUUGGAAAUUGUUUCCCUAUAAUGCCUACCUCAACUAUACUUUUUUUUCACUUGAUCAAUCUUUGAAUACUUUGGCAGUCAAAGAGCAGUCAAAACUGCAUUG